Molecule: ribosomal RNA, 450 nt
Filed under: uncultured bacterium
Lineage: Bacteria
Description: partial 16S ribosomal RNA
Rfam family: Bacterial small subunit ribosomal RNA
Source: RNAcentral
GUGGGGAAUUUUGGACAAUGGGCGCAAGCCUGAUCCAGCAAUGCCGCGUGCAGGAAGAAGGCCUUCGGGUUGUAAACUGCUUUUGUACGGAACGAAACGGUCCUGGUUAAUACCUGGGGCUAAUGACGGUACCGUAAGAAUAAGCACCGGCUAACUACGUGCCAGCAGCCGCGGUAAUACGUAGGGUGCGAGCGUUAAUCGGAAUUACUGGGCGUAAAGCGUGCGCAGGCGGUGCUGUAAGACAGGCGUGAAAUCCCCGGGCUCAACCUGGGAAUUGCGCUGGUGACUGCAGUGCUGGAGUACGGCAGAGGGGGAUGGAAUUCCGCGUGUAGCAGUGAAAUGCGUAGAUAUGCGGAGGAACACCGAUGGCGAAGGCAGUCCCCUGGGCCUGUACUGACGCUCAUGCACGAAAGCGUGGGGAGCAAACAGGAUUAGAAACCCUAGUAGUCC